AGCGAACGCUGGCGGCAGGCCUAACACAUGCAAGUCGAACGAACUCUUCGGAGUUAGUGGCGGACGGGUGAGUAACACGUGGGAACGUGCCUUUUGGUUCGGAAUAACUCAGGGAAACUUGUGCUAAUACCGAAUGUGCCCUUCGGGGGAAAGAUUUAUCGCCAUUAGAGCGGCCCGCGUCUGAUUAGCUAGUUGGUGAGGUAACGGCUCACCAAGGCGACGAUCAGUAGCUGGUCUGAGAGGAUGACCAGCCACACUGGGACUGAGACACGGCCCAGACUCCUACGGGAGGCAGCAGUGGGGAAUCUUGCGCAAUGGGCGAAAGCCUGACGCAGCCAUGCCGCGUGAAUGAUGAAGGUCUUAGGAUUGUAAAAUUCUUUCACCGGGGACGAUAAUGACGGUACCCGGAGAAGUAGCCCCGGCUAACUUCGUG
This 433-nucleotide ribosomal RNA is filed under the name uncultured bacterium. Its description in RNAcentral is "partial 16S ribosomal RNA". It matches the Rfam family "Bacterial small subunit ribosomal RNA", at positions 29 to 507 of the family's 1533-position model. The record is from RNAcentral.